AGCGGUCACACCCUUAAUAUUAAAGAAGGUUGGCUGUACGACAAUGUUAUGCGACGACCAAACUCGCCCGCUCUUCUACUUCUCCUCUCUCUCUCUCUCUCUCUCUCGGUGCAGACUCGACAGACAUGAAUCAAGAAGUGGAGAAAUCCUUGACUCAGCCAGAGAGUGCUAAUGGGUCUAACUCAAACAGUUCGGACCCUGUAACUCGUGUAAGGAAUCUGCUGUUUCGUCGAAUGCUGGUGGGAAUUAGAGAUGGACGGUUUUUCUUGGGCACCUUCCACUGCAUUGACAAGCAAGGAAACAUCAUUCUCCAAGAUGCUGUGGAGUAUCGUAGCACCCAACGCUCCUCCCCUUCUCCCAUGGAACAGCGGUGCCUCGGUCUUAUUCUCAUACCUUCCUCUUGCCGUUCCUCAUGUCACGGGGAUUGUUCUAUUGAAGAGCAAUUGUCAUUGCUAAAAUUUUAGGAAUUGAGAGCAGUUCCAAAUUUCAUAAGUUAUUUUCCCGAAUCAAUGUAGAAGAAAUGAGAUGUUACCCCUACGAUUUUUGCGUGAAAUGAUAUGAUGAAUGACAGAAACGGACAUGAUUUUCCAGGCAUUCUAGGUUCGUAUGCAUACACUGCUACGCAAUAUUUGUUUCUUUAUCUAUUAUGUUUCCAUGUGGUCAUGAGCAUACAAGUGUUUUAGAAUGUGUACCUUGAAGUUGAACUAUGGUGAAGGUUGUGAAUUUGACCUUUGAAAGGAAAGGUGAAGCAGAAACUAGAAGGGCUCUUUGAAACAAAAAGAAAAAAUGUACUUUG
This is an RNA transcript of Juglans regia (Persian walnut), 796 nucleotides long. RefSeq lists it as uncharacterized. Lineage: Eukaryota; Viridiplantae; Streptophyta; Magnoliopsida; Fagales; Juglandaceae. The record is from RefSeq and is a predicted model, not a curated record. The transcript is spliced from 2 exons.